UUUUUUAGCAUACUCCGAGCUAGUUUACCUAAGUCGUAAGAUAUGGUGGCUAUGCCAACACAAUGUGUUCAAGGAUAGAUGGGAAACGAUCUAUCCUCUCGUAUUUAGAAAGGUGUCUAUGCAACAGCUUA
This is a non-coding RNA of Gallibacterium anatis, 131 nucleotides long. The record is from Rfam. NCBI's taxonomy places the organism in Bacteria, Pseudomonadati, Pseudomonadota, Gammaproteobacteria, Pasteurellales, Pasteurellaceae.